GAUGAAGAACGCAGCAAAAUGCGAUAAGUAAUGUGAAUUGUAGAAUUCAGUGAAUCAUCGAAUCUUUGAACGCACAUUGCGCCCGCCAGUAUUCUGGCGGGCAUGCCUGUUCGAGCGUCAUUUCAACCCUCAAGCACAGCUUGGUGUUGGGACUCGCGUUAAUUCGCGUUCCUCAAAUUGAUUGGCGGUCACGUCGAGCUUCCAUAGCGUAGUAGUAAAACCCUCGUUACUGGUAAUCGUCGCGGCCACGCCGUUAAACCCCAACUUCUGAAUGUUGACCUCGGAUCAGGUAGGAAUACCCGCUGAACUUAAGCAUAUCAAUAAGCGGAGGA
RNAcentral lists this unclassified non-coding RNA (332 nucleotides) under soil metagenome. Its description in RNAcentral is "partial contains 5.8S ribosomal RNA, internal transcribed spacer 2, and large subunit ribosomal RNA". The stretch from base 1 to 120 matches the Rfam family "5.8S ribosomal RNA", at positions 35 to 154 of the family's 154-position model. The record is from RNAcentral.